GAGAAUGUUAUCACGGGAGACACACGGCGGGUGCUAACGUCCGUCGUGAAGAGGGAAACAACCCAGACCGCCAGCUAAGGUCCCAAAGUCAUGGUUAAGUGGGAAACGAUGUGGGAAGGCCCAGACAGCCAGGAUGUUGGCUUAGAAGCAGCCAUCAUUUAAAGAAAGCGUAAUAGCUCACUGGUCGAGUCGGCCUGCGCGGAAGAUGUAACGGGGCUAAACCAUGCACCGAAGCUGCGGCAGCGAUGCUUAUGCGUUGUUGGGUAGGGGAGCGUUCUGUAAGCCUGCGAAGGUGUGCUGUGAGGCAUGCUGGAGGUAUCAGAAGUGCGAAUGCUGACAUAAGUAACGAUAAAGCGGGUGAAAAGCCCGCUCGCCGGAAGACCAAGGGUUCCUGUCCAACGUUAAUCGGGGCAGGGUGAGUCGACCCCUAAGGCGAGGCCGAAAGGCGUAGUCGAUGGGAAACAGGUUAAUAUUCCUGUACUUGGUGUUACUGCGAAGGGGGGACGGAGAAGGCUAUGUUGGCCGGGCGACGGUUGUCCCGGUUUAAGCGUGUAGGCUGGUUUUCCAGGCAAAUCCGGAAAAUCAAGGCUGAGGCGUGAUGACGAGGCACUACGGUGCUGAAGCAACAAAUGCCCUGCUUCCAGGAAAAGCCUCUAAGCAUCAGGUAACAUCAAAUCGUACCCCAAACCGACACAGGUGGUCAGGUAGAGAAUACCAAGGCGCUUGAGAGAACUCGGGUGAAGGAACUAGGCAAAAUGGUGCCGUAACUUCGGGAGAAGGCACGCUGAUAUGUAGGUGAAGUCCCUUGCGGAUGGAGCUGAAAUCAGUCGAAGAUACCAGCUGGCUGCAACUGUUUAUUAAAAACACAGCACUGUGCAAACACGAAAGUGGACGUAUACGGUGUGACGCCUGCCCGGUGCCGGAAGGUUAAUUGAUGGGGUCAGCGCAAGCGAAGCUCUUGAUCGAAGCCCCGGUAAACGGCGGCCGUAACUAUAACGGUCCUAAGGUAGCGAAAUUCCUUGUCGGGUAAGUUCCGACCUGCACGAAUGGCGUAAUGAUGGCCAGGCUGUCUCCACCCGAGACUCAGUGAAAUUGAACUCGCUGUGAAGAUGCAGUGUACCCGCGGCAAGACGGAAAGACCCCGUGAACCUUUACUAUAGCUUGACACUGAACAUUGAGCCUUGAUGUGUAGGAUAGGUGGGAGGCUUUGAAGUGUGGACGCCAGUCUGCAUGGAGCCGGCCUUGAAAUACCACCCUUUAAUGUUUGAUGUUCUAACGUGGACCCGUGAUCCGGGUUGCGGACAGUGUCUGGUGGGUAGUUUGACUGGGGCGGUCUCCUCCUAAAGAGUAACGGAGGAGCACGAAGGUUGGCUAAUCCUGGUCGGACAUCAGGAGGUUAGUGCAAUGGCAUAAGCCAGCUUGACUGCGAGCGUGACGGCGCGAGCAGGUGCGAAAGCAGGUC
Molecule: ribosomal RNA, 1462 nt
Filed under: Escherichia coli
Lineage: Bacteria; Pseudomonadati; Pseudomonadota; Gammaproteobacteria; Enterobacterales; Enterobacteriaceae
Description: partial 23S ribosomal RNA
Rfam family: Bacterial large subunit ribosomal RNA
Source: RNAcentral